AGUGAACGCUGGCGGUAGGCCUAACACAUGCAAGUCGAACGGCAGCACAGGAGAGCUUGCUCUCUGGGUGGCGAGUGGCGGACGGGUGAGGAAUACAUCGGAAUCUACUCUGUCGUGGGGGAUAACGUAGGGAAACUUACGCUAAUACCGCAUACGACCUACGGGUGAAAGCAGGGGACCUUCGGGCCUUGCGCGAUUGAAUGAGCCGAUGUCGGAUUAGCUAGUUGGCGGGGUAAAGGCCCACCAAGGCGACGAUCCGUAGCUGGUCUGAGAGGAUGAUCAACCACACUGGAACUGAGACACGGUCCAGACUCCUACGGGAGGCAGCAGUGGGGAAUAUUGGACAAUGGGCGCAAGCAUGAUCCAGCCAUACCGCGUGGGUGAAGAAGGCCUUCGGGUUGUAAAGCCCUUUUGUUGGGAAAGAAAUCCAGCUGGCUAAUACCCGGUUGGGAUGACGGUACCCAAAGAAUAAGCACCGGCUAACUUCGUGCCAGCCGCCGCAGUAA
This 506-nucleotide ribosomal RNA is filed under the name uncultured bacterium. Its description in RNAcentral is "partial 16S ribosomal RNA". It matches the Rfam family "Bacterial small subunit ribosomal RNA", at positions 29 to 523 of the family's 1533-position model. The record is from RNAcentral.